UGGAUAACCUACCUAUAUGACUGGGAUAACUUCGGGAAACCGGAGCUAAUACCGGAUAAUAUAUUGAACCGCAUGGUUCAAUAGUGAAAGACGGUUUUGCUGUCACUUAUAGAUGGAUCCGCGCCGCAUUAGCUAGUUGGUAAGGUAACGGCUUACCAAGGCGACGAUGCGUAGCCGACCUGAGAGGGUGAUCGGCCACACUGGAACUGAGACACGGUCCAG
RNAcentral lists this ribosomal RNA (222 nucleotides) under uncultured Staphylococcus sp. Its description in RNAcentral is "partial 16S ribosomal RNA". It matches the Rfam family "Bacterial small subunit ribosomal RNA", at positions 118 to 334 of the family's 1533-position model. The record is from RNAcentral. Lineage: Bacteria; Bacillati; Bacillota; Bacilli; Caryophanales; Staphylococcaceae.